Molecule: signal recognition particle RNA, 100 nt
Filed under: Priestia megaterium
Lineage: Bacteria; Bacillati; Bacillota; Bacilli; Caryophanales; Bacillaceae
Description: Bacterial small signal recognition particle RNA
Rfam family: Bacterial small signal recognition particle RNA
About the family: The signal recognition particle (SRP) is a universally conserved ribonucleoprotein involved in the co-translational targeting of proteins to membranes. Archaeal SRP consists of a 7S RNA and homologues of the eukaryotic SRP19 and SRP54 proteins. In most bacteria, the SRP consists of a 4.5S RNA and the Ffh protein (a homologue of the eukaryotic SRP54 protein).
Source: RNAcentral
AACUGGGUCCUGCACAACAGAAACCUAUGAACAUGGUCAGGUCCGGAAGGAAGCAGCCAUAAGUAGAUUCUUCUGUGUGUUGCAGCACAACCCGGUCGAG